This is a long non-coding RNA of Quercus lobata, 1054 nucleotides long. RefSeq lists it as uncharacterized. Lineage: Eukaryota; Viridiplantae; Streptophyta; Magnoliopsida; Fagales; Fagaceae. The record is from RefSeq and is a predicted model, not a curated record. The transcript has 2 exons.
AAUCCCUGGGAGGGCUAGGUAUCAGAAUUUGUAGCAUACUAUGGAUUUUCAAGGGUGCAGCAAUAUGUAAAUAGGGUGGGGAAAAAAAAGUUGUGUUGCCAUUCUUUUUUGUAGAAUUUGCAACAUUUGGAUAUUAAUGGCCUCUUGGAUUUAACUUUUUAUCUGAUGCCCCAAAACUUAGUGAGAAAAGUGAGAGGGUAAGGAGGAGAUGGGGAUCAUGUGAUGAAUGACGAACUGUGAUCUUAGUUUUCAGUUGCUUGUUGGUGUAAACCAUGCCUCCCUGUUGUUGACAUAGGUGUGAAGUAUGACUAAUCAAAAAGACAUGGGUGUAAAGUAUGAACUUUUAUGAGCAAAAUUUAUGAAUGCUUAUUUUUGGUUGAAGUGGAAUUAUUCUGCCUAUUAUUCAUGAAUGCUUAUCUUUCUCUCUAAUGGCAAAGGAAGUGGAAUUAUUCUGCCUAUUUUUGGAUGAAGUGAGGUGCAUAGAUAACUUCAUGUUUCACCUUAUGAAAUAGGAAUUACAGAAGUGAAGUUUUGAGAGUUAAUUCUGUUUAUCAGUAAGUUUCUGAUAUUCUUGAUUAUUGCAGUUAUUUACGUGGUUCCAUGUAAGGAGACAAUGAAUUCCCAUUGAGAACUGAAUAGGAGAUGAAAUUGAAGUUUUGAGAGAGAACUUCUUAUUGGUAAGAUUUUGAGAAAUGUUGGUCAUUGCAGUAUUUAUGUGGUUGCGGAUGAACCUGUAAGAAUUAGACAUUUGGUAGGUAAUCAGAAACAGUUUCAUUUCAUACAAUAAUUGUGGUGGGAUUCAUCGGUAGAUCAUCUGUGUAUCAUUGGGAUGACAGUCACUAGUGGUGCUAAUAGAAGUGUCAAGUAUUUACGAUGGCUCACGCACGCUCUGAAAUGAGAGCGUUUUAUGUCAUGCAACAGCUGCUGUGGCUUCGGGCUUGUGCGAUAUAGGAAUAGGAUAUAUAAUCAUUCUAUUCAAAGCUACGAUGAUUUGAGUCCAUUUAAGCCACGUCCACAUUUUUAUUAAUUCAUAAUUAAACUAAAAUAUUUUUUU